AGCGAACGCUGGCGGCAGGCUUAACACAUGCAAGUCGAACGCCCCGCAAGGGGAGUGGCAGACGGGUGAGUAACACGUGGGAACGUACACUUUGGGUCGGAAUAACUUGGGGAAACUCAAGCUAAUACCGGAUAAGCCCUUACGGGGAAAGGUUUACUGCCGAAGGAUCGGCCCGCGUCUGAUUAGCUAGUUGGUGAGGUAACGGCUCACCAAGGAGACGAUCAGGAGCUGGUCUGAGAGGAUGAUCAGCCACAAUGGGACUGGGAACCGGCCCACACUCCUGCGGGAGGCAGUAGUGUGGAAUAGUGGACAAUGGAGGCAACACUGAUUCAGUCAUGCCGCGUGAGUGAUUAAGGACUUAGGGUUGUAAAGCUCUUUCACCGGGGAAGAUAAUGACUGUACCGGGAGAAUAAGCCCCGGCUAACUUCGUGCCAGCAGCCGCGGUAA
RNAcentral lists this ribosomal RNA (447 nucleotides) under uncultured bacterium. Its description in RNAcentral is "partial 16S ribosomal RNA". It matches the Rfam family "Bacterial small subunit ribosomal RNA", at positions 29 to 523 of the family's 1533-position model. The record is from RNAcentral.